Long non-coding RNA from Mus musculus (house mouse), 2962 nucleotides. RefSeq annotates it as predicted gene, 35196. Lineage: Eukaryota; Metazoa; Chordata; Mammalia; Rodentia; Muridae. The transcript has 3 exons. The record is from RefSeq and is a predicted model, not a curated record.
CCUUCAGCCCUCUUGAGGUAAUCCCUAUGGGAUCUUAGGCAAGACCUUCUCCAGUGCCUAGAAGGCCUAGGCCUCUGAACUACCUUGUCUAGCAACUUUGAGUCAGGCAGGAUUCCCUUCUCCCAGUGGCUCCAGGGCUUCGGGGACCCUCACUCUGAGUGCUUCUGCUGUUACUGGCAGGAUACAGAGAAAAGAGGUCUUCCCUUCUCCUUACCAGAAUUGUUUGAGCUCUGAGAAGCAGUUUCCCCUGCGAGCCCCUCGCUCUCGGGCCAAGCCGCUCAAAUACCUGCGGCUUUGCCGCUGCGUGGGAGCCCGCGUGGGUUUUUCUCGGCUGUCGCUUCUUCAUUCCCCUAGCUCCGUCCGGAUACCUGCAUGGCUGCGGAGCACCCAAAGAGCCAAACAGGGAGACGUGCUGCUCUGAACUUCCCAUGACCUCCUCUGCACCGCGCUCACCGCUCUGCGCAAGAAGGAACCCGGCGCGGGAUUCCGGAGAAGUCACGGGCGAGCCUCAGGAUUGCAGACCAUUGGGAUGGAGACUGGAGAUAAGUGCAGAAAACUUGUGUGUGGUACACUUUUCUAGAACUAGCGAACCCAUCAAAAGAGAUGGUCCUAGGGUUGCAAAUGCGUCCCUCUAUAUGUAAAGAGAUGUCGUAAGGGCACCCGUGUGCAAACAUUGACACCAAGUUCUUAUUACGCAUGACGCUUAAAUUUUGUUGUAGUGUUGGAGACAAAUGCGCUGAAUCCAAGCACGCAUCUCUAAAAGAGUUCCACACUGAUUAGUUGAAAGGGCCACAAAGAAAAGAAUCCAGGACUAGGUGACCGCUGAGCAAUGUCACAAAGUGGCUCCAGCCAGCUCUCAGCCUCCAGUGUCUCCACACCCAGGACAGGAGGAGGGCGUAGGUGGGUUUUUCCAGCUUGUGGGUGUUAAACGCUUUCUCCAGUUUCCGAUUUUAUGCUUUUAAAAAUGCACUUAAACCUCUAUCAAAAAGAAAAUCGGCCAAAUUGCUUAGAAAUACAAAUUGCGCUCUGAUCGAUACAAGGUCAAGAUAGGUCAGCAGUGGGCAGAGGCGGCUCCACCAGAGAUGUUAGAAAUGAGUAACAACCCACAAAUUUCGUUCUUACUAAAGAAAUAGGUAAAGGGAAUCAAAGGGUAAUAGUUACUAUUACAGUCACUGAAAAACUCCAAUUAAUUUAAUGUGUUUCAGAUUUAUAUGUAUGUAAUCACAGUACUUUUAUUCUGCCUAGCUAUUUCCAUUAAGUUUUAAUAUCUUAUUAAAGUUCCCUGGGUAAAUUUUCUGAGUUUUUAUGUGAGCGGAGAUUACCUUAACCAGAAGCAAAGUUUAACAUAAUUUCCUUAGACGCAGUUAAGUCUGUAUCUUCUGCCAACAUUUUUAAAUGCAGGAAGAAGUGAAAGGAGGUAAGGAAAAUUCUAGGGAAGCACCUACUACGUGCAGGCACCGGAUAAGACUAGCUUAAACAUUUUAUUUCACAUUAAUAACUGCCUAUCCGUAAAAGAUCUUUUUUUAAAAAGCCUGAAAUGUCCAUCUUCUUCCUCCAAACUAAAGUGUACAGCUUACGUAAUUUUAUUUUAUUCGCAAGAAUUUCGUUUUUAAUACUUCCUUAUUGGAAGUGAAAAACAGCCAAAGAAAAUGAAAAGAUCCAUACUUAGUAAUAUUUAAGGUUUUGUUUUGUUUUUUUCAAAAAACGGACUACACCGUUUAGUAUUCGUAUUUGUCAAAAAAAAAAAAAAAAAAGCGGAGUUGUGGCUUAGCUCAUGGUGAUUUUUUUUCCUAACUCUUUCAGUUUCUGUAAAAAUAAAGCCCUAUCAGUAUUGGGAAGGAGACCGGGCUUGUAAUUAGGAACACGUCCUUGUUGGGGGGCGAAGGGAAGUACGGAAGGAGGAAGGGUGAGAGACAGAGAGACAGAGACAGAGAGAGCGCUGCUCACACACAAACAAUGCACAAUUAACCGUGGCUGUACAUUAAAAGGAACUAAAAACUAGUUGUUUUUGCGAGGGUAUGUAAACUGCGGCGUAGAGGCUAAGGUGAGAGGGCUAUGCAUUGUUGUAGGAGAUAUGAUUGAAGCAAGCACCUGAAAAAGAAAAAUAAGACAGAAAGUAAUCGUGAAGAAAGGGGAGGGGGAGAGAAGAGAAUCAGGUGAGAACAAGGAACAGCGGCCAGAAACUGUGGGAAGCAGUCAAAUCUCCACAUUUUCAGCUCUUUUAAUUAAUGGGAUGGGGGGAGGUCUCACUAUAAUUGGGAAUAAAUGGUUGUCUGAUGGAAGUCUAUUAGUUAUUCUAUUUGUGCUGGGGUGGGGGGUUUGUUUGUUUUUCCAGAUUCUCAAAAAAGUUAUUUCGAGAUACAACCAAAUGUUUUGACUGGGUGAUCGAAAGCCAGGCGAAGCAUUUCCUGCUGUGAUUGCCGGGAGGUGAACAGCCUUACACCCAACGCACCCCACGCCCAGCAGCCUGAGGAGUAGCGCCCUGCAGCCCACGCCUGGGCAAGCGCGAUGGGGGACACAGAGUUCAGUUCGGAGGCCUGGCUUUAGACUUGCUUUGGUUUUCUUCGGGAAGGGGAAAUGGGCGUAGUUCUGUGUGGAUUUUCACUUUAGAAACUUGGGAAACUGGGUGGUUUUCAACUGGGCUUCUGGUGGCCGAGGCUCCCUUGCCUCUCCGGGUGUCACAGGAGCGCGAGGCGAGAGGCGCUACUUUCGACGAACCUCCCUCUCCCCAGCCUUGAAUGGGGACGCGCCUCCGCCGGCUUUGAAGGCGACUUGGCGACCUCAGUGCCCCGCGGCUCGGCACCGGUCCAGCCCCGCUCAGGGAGAAGCCCACUUGGGAGUCUCUUCCCUCGGAGCGAGUCAGUGCCCAGGCACUCCCCGGACACUGAGUUCAGGAGCUCCCUGCUGCGGGCCCCUUUCUUUACUUACCCUCGUUUUCUUUGGAAGCAUUCCCCCGCCCCUC